This 1039-nucleotide long non-coding RNA is filed under the name Equus caballus (horse). Its description in RNAcentral is "lncRNA (ENSECAG00000044210.1)". The record is from RNAcentral. Lineage: Eukaryota; Metazoa; Chordata; Mammalia; Perissodactyla; Equidae.
CAGGCCUCGGCGGGUUCCCGAGGCUCCCCAGGCGCGCGCGCCGCCCGUCGAGCCGGGCCGUGUCCAGGCCGCUCUUCCGUUAACCCUUAACCCUGUCCCAGAGCGGCCUGGACACGGCCCGGCUCGUCGGGGCGGCGCCCGCGCCUGGGAGCCUCGGGAACAGUUCAGUUGUCUACAUUAACACUGCUGAUGUCAGCACUAAGGCAUCCUUGCUCUUUGUACCCAAGGGCUGUGAUGUCAGCCCACUGGGACCUCCCCUGAGCCUGGCGUCUUGGGCUUUGCUGGAGCUUAGGCACACAGGCGGCAUCCACGACUGAUCCCAGCUAUUCGGACUCCAGAGCCCCUCCCCAAAUACACCUCUACAGAGAUGUCAGAACGGCUGCGAUACAAAAAGCUGACAAUACGAAUUGCUGGCAAGGAUGCAGAGUAACACACUCCCGUUCGCUGUUGGGGAGGUAAACGGUGCACCCGUUUGACGGGCAGCCUGGCACUUCUUACAAAGGAAAAUGGAGAAAUUGUGGGACAUCCACACAAUGGAACAAUAUUCAGUGACAGAAAAGAAGAAGCCAUGAAGCCCCACAAAAAUGUGGAUGAGUUUAAACACAUAUUGCUAGCCGAAAGAAGUCAGUCUGAAACUCCCACAGUUCAUUUUUAUGAUAUUCUGGAAAGGUCAUCAGAAACAGGCAAACUGAGAAACUGUCACAGCCCAGAGCGGUCUAGAGGGAGUGAAGCUGAAUGUACUAUGGUGGCCUGGAUGGAAGUCUGGAACAGAAAAAUGGCAUUAGGGAAAAACUGGGGAAACCUGAAUAAAAUACACACUUCAUUUUAUAAUAAUGUAUGAAUAUUGGUUGAUUAAUUACUUUUGACAAAUAUAUCAUUCUAAUAUAAGAUUUUAACAGCAGGGCAAACUGCUUAUGAGGUAUAUGUGAAAUCUCUGCAUUAUCUUUGCAACUUUUCUGUAAAUUUAAAACUAUUCUAGAAAAAAUUUAUUUUUAAAUCAUUGCAAUCACAAAUGUAUUACACUCAGGGAAAAUAAUGG